CUGAAUAACUUUGCUGAUCACACGGUCCUCGUACCGGUGACAUAUCUUUCAAGUGUCUGCCCUAUCAACUUUCGAUGGUAGUUUAUGCGCCUACCAUGGUUGUAACGGGUAACGGAGAAUAAGGGUUCGACUCCGGAGAGGGAGCCUGAGAAAUGGCUACCACAUCCAAGGAAGGCAGCAGGCGCGCAAAUUACCCACUCUCAGCUCGAGGAGGUAGUGACGAAAAAUAACGAGACGGUUCUCUAUGAGGCCCGUCAUCGGAAUGGGUACAAUUUAAACCCUUUAACGAGGAUCUAUUGGAGGGCAAGUCUGGUGCCAGCAGCCGCGGUAAUUCCAGCUCCAAUAGCAUAUACCAAUUCUGUUGCUGUUAAAAA
Molecule: ribosomal RNA, 374 nt
Filed under: Nematoda sp.
Lineage: Eukaryota; Metazoa; Nematoda
Description: SSU rRNA
Rfam family: Eukaryotic small subunit ribosomal RNA
Source: RNAcentral